UAAAUAUCAUCUUGAAGUUUCAUAAAGAAAAUUUUUGGCCAAUUGGAUUUGUUGAAAUAUCUCUUUUUGGGAAUCUACCGUAAUUUGUAAUAGUUUGUUCUUGAAGAGGACCAUGCUUAACGAUUCAAUGAAUUGUUCUUGUUUAUUCAAUGAAAUAUUUGACAUCAUUUUUUGGACUGUUACCUUGCUCUUAACCUAUAA
RNAcentral lists this unclassified non-coding RNA (201 nucleotides) under Hevea brasiliensis (rubber tree). Lineage: Eukaryota; Viridiplantae; Streptophyta; Magnoliopsida; Malpighiales; Euphorbiaceae. The record is from RNAcentral.